UGGGGAAUAUUGCACAAUGGGCGCAAGCCUGAUGCAGCGACGCCGCGUGGGGGAUGACGGCCUUCGGGUUGUAAACCUCUUUCAGUAGGGACGAAGCGCAAGUGACGGUACCUACAGAAGAAGCACCGGCCAACUACGUGCCAGCAGCCGCGGUAAUACGUAGGGUGCGAGCGUUGUCCGGAAUUACUGGGCGUAAAGAGCUCGUAGGUGGUUUGUCGCGUUGUUCGUGAAAACCGGAGGCUUAACCUUCGGCGUGCGGGCGAUACGGGCAGACUGGAGUACUGCAGGGGAGACUGGAAUUCCUGGUGUAGCGGUGGAAUGCGCAGAUAUCAGGAGGAACACCGGUGGCGAAGGCGGGUCUCUGGGCAGUAACUGACGCUGAGGAGCGAAAGCGUGGGGAGCGAACAGGAUUAGAUACCCUGGUAGUCCACGCCGUAAACGGUGGUACUAGGUGUGGGUUUCCUUCCGUUGGGAUCCGUGCCGUAGCUAACGCAUUAA
Molecule: ribosomal RNA, 498 nt
Filed under: uncultured Actinomycetes bacterium
Lineage: Bacteria; Bacillati; Actinomycetota; Actinomycetes
Description: bacterial SSU rRNA
Rfam family: Bacterial small subunit ribosomal RNA
Source: RNAcentral